AUUGUAUUUUCAAAAUGCAUUGCUAACACAACUGCACAUGUUUGUUUAUUGGAAAGAACAUCACAAAGGGUGACAAUCCCAUGUGUCAUGUGUAUGUUUUGUGUACAGCGUGCAUUAUAUGAAUCACAUUCAUUGACAAUUGAAUGCAAAUAGAAUGGUAAAUUUCAUUUAAUCAUAAAUAUGUUGUUGACAACUUAUAGCAAACAAAUACCAUGAGGGAAAUGUGAAAAGGAUUUUGAAAAGAAAAUUAAAAGAGCUUGCAAUUGCUGAACUGAUAAGCAAACAAAACAUACGUGUGUAUGCAAGAUUGUUGUAAUGCUUAGCAUCCUAUGCAAGGCUAUUGCAAUGAUUUUUUGUAUAGUGAUGCUACCUUUUUUUAGAAUUUGGAAUGUCUUUUUUUGAGUGUGAAUGGAAUUUUGUUUGUUAGCAAAGGAAUGCACUUUUAGAUUCAUUGUUUGAUUUGAUUUAAAAAUGUUUGUGACACGUGUCUUUGUUUUAGUUUCAUGCUUCAACCAAGGACAUUGUGUUUGAUCCAUAUCAGCAAUACAUGUUUUGUUUGACCCGUCUUGAAACACGGACCAAGGAGUUUAAUUUAUGUGCAAGAUCAUGAAACUGACAUUUGUAUAUCAAUGAAAAUAUUUUGUUGGGAUUUGUGCACCAACAACUGAUAAGUUGUGUGACGCGACGUUGAGUUUGAGCAUGUUGAUUAAAACCCGAAAGAUGGUGAACUAUGCCUGAACAGAAUGAAGU
RNAcentral lists this ribosomal RNA (750 nucleotides) under Coolia malayensis. Its description in RNAcentral is "partial large subunit ribosomal RNA". It matches the Rfam family "Eukaryotic large subunit ribosomal RNA", at positions 142 to 852 of the family's 3401-position model. The record is from RNAcentral. Lineage: Eukaryota; Dinophyceae; Peridiniales; Ostreopsidaceae.